RNAcentral lists this long non-coding RNA (225 nucleotides) under Elaeis guineensis (African oil palm). RNAcentral describes it as "long non-coding RNA (EGUI_LNC013863)". The record is from RNAcentral. Lineage: Eukaryota; Viridiplantae; Streptophyta; Magnoliopsida; Arecales; Arecaceae.
AAAAGAUGUGAACUAUCCAAAAAAGAUGGAUAACUUAAAAAACCCACAACUCACCGUCCUUUAAUCCAUGCAAUCGGCAAAACUUAGUAAUACAAGAAAUGAAACAUAUGCAGGCACACAAAAGAAAAGCCACUCUAAUAUACUCAAGUUUUAUGGAUGGAUAUAGCAUUUUUCCUUACAUUGCAAUAUUAAAGCAAAUUAAUCGAAGAUCCAUCCAUUGCACGG